Molecule: ribosomal RNA, 2898 nt
Filed under: Triticum aestivum (bread wheat)
Lineage: Eukaryota; Viridiplantae; Streptophyta; Magnoliopsida; Poales; Poaceae
Description: partial small subunit ribosomal RNA
Source: RNAcentral
AUGCAUACCACCACUGCCGAGCUUCUGCUCAUAUGCGUCCUAGCUGCCACGGCCUUGCUGGCCUCCGAUGCAUUUCAGCUCGGGCCGUCCGGCGGCUCGGCCGGCGUAAGCUGCAUACCGCGGGAGCGGGACGCCCUACUGUCCUUCAAGCGCGGCAUCACCAGCGACCCCAUGGGCGUCCUUGACUCUUGGCACAAGGAAGACUGCUGUCAGUGGAGGGGCGUCAAGUGCAGCAACCGGACCGGCCAUGUCCUUAGGCUUCAGCUUCGUAAUCUGCAUACAGAUGGGUACUACAUGGUUGGCCAGAUAAGUAAUUCUUUGCUCUCCAUGGAUCGUCUUGUGCACCUUGAUCUUAGCAUGAAUUACCUCGAGGGCCCAAGUGGCCGCAUGCCGGAGUUCUUGGGCUCUUUGACAAGAUUGAGAUAUCUCAACCUCUCCGGAAUACCAUUUUAUGGCAGAGUGCCCCCUCAGCUCGGCAACCUCUCAAACCUGCAGCAUAUUGACCUCUCAUGGUGUGGUAUGUACUCGAGAGACAUUUCAUGGGUAGCACGCAUUCCUAGUUUGCAGUCUCUUGAAAUGAAUGGGGUAAACCUCAGCACAAUAGUUGAUUGGCCUUAUGUCGUCAACAUGAUCCCUUCUUUGAAGGUCCUCGGUUUUGCGGGUUGCUCUCUUCAAACCGCAAAUCAUUCACUCCCACAUAUUAACCUUACAAAACUGGAGAGGCUUCAACUCUCGGGCAACAUCUUUGCCCACCCAAUGGCACGGAGUUGGUUUUGGAAUUUGACAAGCCUCCAGCAUCUCUACCUUGCCAGAACUCAGCUAUACGGUCAAGCUCCUGAUGCACUGGCACAUAUGACAUCCCUCCAAGUCCUUGAUUUGUCAUUUAAUAAUGACAUGGGGAGGAUGACAACAAGCUUCAGAAACCUAUGCAAUCUGAGAAUCCUGGACCUUUGUGCAUGUCAAAUUGUUGGAAAUUUUAAGGAUAUUAUAGGGAGGAUGCCCCAGUGUCCCUUGAAUAAAAUGCAGGAGUUGCAUUUGAGGUACAACAAUAUUACCGGAAUCAUACCGGACCAGACAGCACACUUGACCAGCUUAGUCGUUCUUGACAUCUCUCGGAACAACCUAAGUGGAGGAAUACCACAAUGGGUGGGGUUGCUCUCUAGUUUAAGCAGCCUUGAUCUCUCUGACAAUAAUCUCAGUGGACCUGUGCCAUCUGAGAUCGGUAUGCUCUGUAACUUGACCAUGAUGGAUCUCAACAGGAACAAUUUGAUUGGUGACUUCACUGAAGAACAUUUUACAAGUCUAACGAGGCUAAAGGUGCUGCGUUUAGGUUGGAAUUCUUUGAGACUUACAUUUGGCCCCGAUUGGAUGCCACCCUUCAGUUUAGAAGAAACAUAUCUUCGCUCUUGCCAACUGGGCCCUUCAUUCCCUGCAUGGCUUCAGUUCCAGAUGGACAUUCGCUAUAUGGAUAUAUCAAGCACAGGUAUAGUUGGUAGGCUUCCUGACUGGUUCAGCACUAAAUUUGCAAAGGUCACAUAUCUGGACAUCUCCAACAAUGAAAUCAGUGGCAGGUUGCCAAGAAACAUGGAAUUCAUGUCACUGCGAUAUUUCUAUAUCAGUUCAAAUAAACUAACUGGUGAAAUCCCCAACUUACCAAGCAAUAUUACCUUCUUCGAGAUGUCUGAAAACUCUUUAUCUGGAAAUUUGCCAUCAAACAUUGGGAGGCUAGAUUUAGAAUCAUUAGCGCUGCGCUCCAAUCAAAUAACUGGUCGUAUUCCAAAAUCUCUCUGCAAAGCGGAAGCCUUGAACUCCUUGGACUUAAGCAACAAUCUUUUGGAGGGACAACUUCCUCAGUGUUUUGGGGUGAUGGACAUUGGCUUUCUCAUGUUGAGUAACAACAGAUUCUCUGGCAAUUUCCCAUCAUUUCUAAAAAGAUUGAGACAAUUGAAGUCUCUAGAUCUAUCACAUAAUAGAUUUUCCGGAAGGUUGCCAUUGUGGAUUGGAGAGUUGGCUGAACUAAGAUUUCUGGGGCUAAACCAUAAUACGUUUUCUGGAGAAAUCCCACCUACCAUCUCAAAUCUUAGUCACCUUCACCAUCUGAACCUAGCAGGCAAUGGCUUAUCAGGUGCCAUACCGUGGCAUCUGUCAAAUAUCACGGCCAUGAUAGGAAUGGACGAAAGCAAUUAUGAGAAUGAGCUAUAUUAUGUCGGUAACUUGGGUACGUACCAUACACUUGAUUUUUCCUCUGCGGUCGUCAAGGGACGAGAACUUAAUUAUAGUUCUGGCAUUUGGGAUUUGGUGAGCAUUGACCUAUCUUUCAACCAAUUAACUGGGGUAAUCCCAGAAGAAAUAGCUGCUCUUGAUGCAUUGAUAAACUUGAAUCUAUCAUGGAACCAAUUGAGUGGGAAAAUCCCAAAUAAGCUUGGGGCCUUGAAGGCUUUGGAAUCACUUGACCUCUCCAGGAACAUGCUUUCUGGUGGGAUCCCUUCGAGCCUAUCAGAUAUAACUUAUUUGAGCUACUUGGAUCUGUCUGAUAACAAUCUAACAGGAACAAUACCAUCCGGACGUCAGCUUGACACCCUCUACACACAGCAACCUUCCAUGUACAGUGGCAACAGUGGUCUUUGUGGGCUUCCUCUUCCAAUCAGUUGCCCGGGAAAGAAUGCAACAAGGAAAGAUGAUCAAAAAGGGAAUGAACAUUCCUUUGAGCCAAUGCCCUUUUAUUUUGGACUUGCUAUGGGAUUUAUUCUGGGUCUUUGGGUGGUGUUUUGCGUCUUGUUGUUUAAGAGAGCAUGGAGGAUUGCUUAUUUCAGCAUGGUUGACCAGAAAUAUGAUCAGAUGUAUGUGUUUGCCGUUCUUACAUGGAAAAGCUGGGCCAGGAAGGGGACUACAAAUUGA